AGUGAACGCUGGCGGUAGGCCUAACACAUGCAAGUCGAACGGCAGCACAGUAAGAGCUUGCUCUUACGGGUGGCGAGUGGCGGACGGGUGAGGAAUACAUCGGAAUCUACUUUUUCGUGGGGGAUAACGUAGGGAAACUUACGCUAAUACCGCAUACGCCCUACGGGGGAAAGCAGGGGAUCUUCGGACCUUGCGCGAUUGAAUGAGCCGAUGUCGGAUUAGCUAGUUGGCGGGGUAAAGGCCCACCAAGGCGACGAUCCGUAGCUGGUCUGAGAGGAUGGUCGGCCACACUGGAGCUUGGACACGGUCCAGACUCCUACGGGAGGCAGCAGUGGGGAAUAUUGGACAAUGGGCGCAAGCCUGAUCCAGCCAUACCGCGUGGGUGAAGAAGGCCUUCGGGUUGUAAAGCCCUUUUGUUGGGAAAGAAAAGCAGCAGGUUAAUACCCCGCUGUUCUGACGGUACCCAAAGAAUAAGCACCGGCUAACUUCGUG
Molecule: ribosomal RNA, 492 nt
Filed under: uncultured bacterium
Lineage: Bacteria
Description: partial 16S ribosomal RNA
Rfam family: Bacterial small subunit ribosomal RNA
Source: RNAcentral